AUACGGAGGGUGCAAGCGUUAUCCGGAAUCACUGGGUUUAAAGGGUGCGUAGGCGGCUCGGUAAGUCAGGGGUGAAAGUCUGCCGCUCAACGGUAGAAUUGCCUUUGAUACUGCCAGGCUUGAAUAAGCGCGAGGCAGGCGGAAUGUGGCUUGUAGCGGUGAAAUGCAUAGAUAUGCCAUAGAACACCAAUUGCGUAGGCAGCUUGCCAGGGCUUUAUUGACGCUGAGGCACGAAAGCGUGGGGAGCGAACAGGAUUAGAAACCCCAGUAGUCC
RNAcentral lists this ribosomal RNA (274 nucleotides) under uncultured bacterium. RNAcentral's name for it is "partial 16S ribosomal RNA". It matches the Rfam family "Bacterial small subunit ribosomal RNA", at positions 523 to 796 of the family's 1533-position model. The record is from RNAcentral.